GCCCAUUCCAAUGAUCAGAACUUGAAUUUCUAGGAGUGUGGGCUGAAGUGCCCUGGGGGUUCUAGGUAAACUUGAAAGGCAGUUUAGAACACAAAGACUGCAAUUGCUAGGCAACUCCUAGUGCUAGCCCAGGCUUAGAGCCAGUGGACUUGGGUGGCAUGUAACCUAGGGAGACAUCAGCUGACGUGGCUAAGGGAGAACUUGUGCUCACGCAACAAAAGUGACUCCUUUCUUCUGCUUAAGGAUAGGAAAGUGAAGAAUUAAGAGGACGAUGUCUUGCAUCUUGGAUAUCAGCUCAGCCACUGUAGGAUAGGCCACCGGGCAGAGUCCUGAGGCCCUCAUUCCAGGCCCUACUUUCCAGAUGACAUUUUGAGACACACACUGGUGCAAAAGAACCUGCUGC
RNAcentral lists this long non-coding RNA (403 nucleotides) under Homo sapiens (human). Its description in RNAcentral is "LHRI_LNC431.1". The record is from RNAcentral. Lineage: Eukaryota; Metazoa; Chordata; Mammalia; Primates; Hominidae.